This 468-nucleotide ribosomal RNA is filed under the name uncultured bacterium. RNAcentral describes it as "partial 16S ribosomal RNA". It matches the Rfam family "Bacterial small subunit ribosomal RNA", at positions 28 to 507 of the family's 1533-position model. The record is from RNAcentral.
GAUGAACGCUGGCGGCGUGCUUAACACAUGCAAGUCGAACGGUGAAGGCGGAGCUUGCUCUGCUGGAUCAGUGGCGAACGGGUGAGUAACACGUGAGCAAUCUGCCCCUGACUCUGGGAUAAGCGCUGGAAACGGCGUCUAAUACUGGAUACGAGCUGCGAAGGCAUCUUCAGCAGCUGGAAAGAACUUCGGUCAGGGAUGAGCUCGCGGCCUAUCAGCUUGUUGGUGAGGUAACGGCUCACCAAGGCGUCGACGGGUAGCCGGCCUGAGAGGGUGACCGGCCACACUGGGACUGAGACACGGCCCAGACUCCUACGGGAGGCAGCAGGGGGGAAUAUGGCACAAUGGGCGAAAGCCUGAUGCAGCAACGCCGCGUGAGGGACGACGGCCUUCGGGUUGUAAACCUCUUUUAGCGGGGAAGAAGCGAAAGUGACGGUACCUGCAGAAAAAGCGCCGGCUAACUACGUG